This 187-nucleotide non-coding RNA is filed under the name Betaproteobacteria bacterium. Its description in RNAcentral is "6S RNA". It matches the Rfam family "6S / SsrS RNA". Rfam says of the family: E. coli 6S RNA was the first non coding RNA to be sequenced, but its function was unknown until recently. It consists of 184 nucleotides that fold into an extended hairpin structure with a large single-stranded internal bulge. The record is from RNAcentral. Lineage: Bacteria; Pseudomonadati; Pseudomonadota; Betaproteobacteria.
UGUCCCCUGCUGUGUUCGACCGGGCUCAUAUUUCCGAACCGAUAGCUUCCCUAGGUUGCGGACCCUAGCGUCACUGUUGUGAUCGUCCCUCCUUCGGGUGCCGGACGAACCUGAGGUGACCGGCAAGCGACCACCCUGAUUAAGCACAGGGUUCGGGAGCGAGCCCACCGGCACAAGCGGGGGGCCA